Molecule: ribosomal RNA, 279 nt
Filed under: uncultured bacterium
Lineage: Bacteria
Description: partial 16S ribosomal RNA
Rfam family: Bacterial small subunit ribosomal RNA
Source: RNAcentral
UGCCAGCCGCCGCGGUAAUACGGAGGGUGCGAGCGUUAAUCGGAAUCACUGGGCGUAAAGCGUACGUAGGUGGCAAGGUCAGUCAGGCGUGAAAGCCCUCGGCUCAACCGAGGAAUUGCGUUUGAUACUACUUUGCUAGAGUCUCGGAGAGGUUGGCGGAAUUCCAGGUGUAGGAGUGAAAUCCGUAGAUAUCUGGAGGAAUACCCGUGGCGAAGGCGGCCUGCUGGGCCUGAUCUGACGCUCAGACGCGAAAGCAUGGGGAGCGAACGGGAUUAGAUA